ACACACACACACGUACAUACAAAAACUAUAUACAGUGCAUUCAGAAACCAGAGGCUUCUCCUGUCAGACUGUGAGAAACAAGAUUCUCUGGUCUGAUGAACCAAGAUUGAAAUGUUUGGCCUGAUUUCUGAGCGUCUUAAAACUGUUUGUCCUUGUGGAAGUUUCUCCUGGUUCCACACAGGAUCUCUGCAGCUCAGUGACCAUCAGGCUCUCGGUCGCCUCUGUUACCGAGACUCUUCUCACUUUCAGAGCAGCAGAGUUUGGGUUUUUUUUUUUGAGCCUUCCCCAGAUCUGUGCCUGGAUAUUUUCCUGUCUCUGAGCUCUGCAGCAGUUUCCCUCCACCUCUCUGCUUGGUUUUUGCUGCAAUAUGCAUCGUCAGCUGUCUGUACAGUGUAGACAUGUCCUGUCAACUGUAUUUACCACAGGUGUUUUUUGGGCAACAGAGGAGAUCUGUGAGCUUCAUCAAGCUUUGGCCGACAACACGUCCUCCGACCCGAGCGACCGCGUAGGUCGCCUGUCGCCUACGACCCACAGGAGCGACCCACACACAGGCGUACCGGACCUUCGUCGUCACGGUAAAAAUAAAACGUACAGUUGUAAAAAGAUCAAAGAUGAAAGAAACACCAGCGGCCUCCUGAGUGAAAGUCCUGUGUUUUGUGGACUUUGACUCUUUAUACUACGUCACAUAGCUUCCUUUUUUUGUUCUGAUCACCUCACAGUGAAACUGAACCAUGAGUCAUAACAAGCUGCUUGUACAGACAAACUCCAGGGUCAUUCUUUGACAGGACAGUCUCUUGGCCACACAGGCACUAGUUAGUGGAAAUGAAUCAUUAUUGAUUUCCGUCUUUUCAUGGGGUUUGUUCACAACAAGGAAAAUACAGAACAUCAACAGGCUUCAGUUACAGAUGGACGUACAUGGACGACUGCAGACGGAUUAGUAGCUGUUUGAAUUUAUACUCCGGCCUGGAGGACACACGCCGUACACGCGCAACAAUGACAACACAUCUGGUCUUUCUGUUCUGUUAUAGACGACCCUGGCUUCACUGUCUGGUAUCAGUAUCUGUAAACACUGGGUGGGUCAGAAAGAAACCUGAGGUGCUCCGUACGUCGAACUUAUCCCGAACAACUUCUUGUCCAUAAAACAAGUAGUGCCAUUAUGUAGACCUGAAAAUAACCUGCACCAACAUACAUUCACGUCCUCUAAGCACACGGAGAUGGAAAGAACCUGCGUCUACUUGCUGAAUCAUCUACUGUGUAUUUACAGAAAGAAAAAUAAAUGUGAUUAGAGUGUC
Long non-coding RNA from Seriola aureovittata, 1292 nucleotides. RefSeq lists it as uncharacterized. The record is from RefSeq and is a predicted model, not a curated record. The transcript has 2 exons. Lineage: Eukaryota; Metazoa; Chordata; Actinopteri; Carangiformes; Carangidae.